GCUGGCAAGGCAGAAGAUCAAACUAACCUGCCCUUCAAAAGCUGAAAGUCUUGCAGAAGGAACAGACAGACAAGUAAACAGUCACAGAGAGCAGUGGAAAGCAGAAAAAUAACAUCUUCAUAAAGAAACUCCAGGGGAUGCUUCUGUUUCUAACUGCUCACCUGUCCCUGUAUAGCCCUAAGUGGUACACCUUGUUAA
Long non-coding RNA from Ochotona curzoniae (black-lipped pika), 198 nucleotides. RefSeq lists it as uncharacterized. The record is from RefSeq and is a predicted model, not a curated record. The transcript has 3 exons. Lineage: Eukaryota; Metazoa; Chordata; Mammalia; Lagomorpha; Ochotonidae.